This 201-nucleotide ribosomal RNA is filed under the name uncultured bacterium. RNAcentral describes it as "partial 16S ribosomal RNA". It matches the Rfam family "Bacterial small subunit ribosomal RNA", at positions 326 to 539 of the family's 1533-position model. The record is from RNAcentral.
ACGCUCGACACCUACGGGAUGCAGCAGUGGGGAAUAUUGGGCAAUGGGCGAAAGCCUGACCCAGCAACGCCGCGUGAGGGAAGAAGGUUUUCGGAUUGUAAACCUCUGUCCUCAGGGACGAAGGACGUGACGGUACCUGAGGAGGAAGCCCCGGCUAACUACGUGCCANCAGCCGCGGUAAUCUGAGCGGGCUGGCAAGGC